UGGGGGAUAUUGCGCAAUGGGGGAAACCCUGACGCAGCAACGCCGCGUGAAGGAAGAAGGUCUUCGGAUUGUAAACUUUUGUCUUUUGGGACGAUAGUGACGGUACCAAAGGAGGAAGCCACGGCUAACUACGUGCCAGCAGCCGCGGUAAUACGUAGGUGGCGAGCGUUGUCCGGAAUUACUGGGUGUAAAGGGCGUGUAGGCGGGUAAUCAAGUCAGAUGUGAAAUACCGGGGCUUAACUCCGGGGCUGCAUUUGAAACUGAAUAUCUUGAGUGCAGGAGAGGAAAGCGGAAUUCCUAGUGUAGCGGUGAAAUGCGUAGAUAUUAGGAGGAACACCAGUGGCGAAGGCGGCUUUCUGGACUGUAACUGACGCUGAGGCGCGAAAGCGUGGGGAGCAAACAGG
RNAcentral lists this ribosomal RNA (404 nucleotides) under uncultured bacterium. RNAcentral's name for it is "bacterial SSU rRNA". It matches the Rfam family "Bacterial small subunit ribosomal RNA", at positions 355 to 776 of the family's 1533-position model. The record is from RNAcentral.